Coffea arabica (coffee) is the source of this 538-nucleotide long non-coding RNA. RefSeq lists it as uncharacterized. The record is from RefSeq and is a predicted model, not a curated record. Lineage: Eukaryota; Viridiplantae; Streptophyta; Magnoliopsida; Gentianales; Rubiaceae.
GCGGCACCACAAAACCAUCCAAUCUAUCUCACGGCUUAAGACCACAAAUUCAAUUUCCUUCUCUGCACAACAAAACCGCAAACCAUUUCUUCCUUCUUAAUACCGAGAUACCAUUCUCUUCAUCUUCAACCAACCGACCUCAAAGCCACCAGCUACAACAAAUUCCAGCCGCAAUUUAGGAGCUAAAGACCACCGACUGCACUUGGCCGAGAGCUAGGGGAGAAAUUUCUGGAAUAUUUCGUGUGAAGGAUUAGCUGCUAGCUGAGGGUAUUGCGAGGACGCGGAAUUCGAUUCCAACUUGAUAUCUGACCUCCACUCUCGGUUCUGGAAACUGAAAGCUAGAUGCUUAAUUAUGUUUUUCUCUUGGACUGUAUUUGAAUACUACAACUUAUUCAGUGGGCUGUAAUGUGUUAUUUGGGAUAAUGUAAUUUCCUUUUUUUUUGAUUGCCACUUGACGCUGGAAAAUGUGUAAACCCUAAUUCGAUUCUUGGCUUGUAAGUUGUAUUAUGGACUUAUGCAUUUCAUCUAUCCGGUUUGA